RNAcentral lists this long non-coding RNA (214 nucleotides) under Lathyrus oleraceus (garden pea). RNAcentral describes it as "Pisum sativum (pea) long non-coding RNA (PSAT_LNC005850)". The record is from RNAcentral. Lineage: Eukaryota; Viridiplantae; Streptophyta; Magnoliopsida; Fabales; Fabaceae.
GUGAGCAAAAGGCAAAUUGAAUUAUCAUAAACAUGUGCUCAACUAGGCAAAGGAAAAAGAAAAUGAAUAGUAUGUACAAGAAUAGUAAAUUGCAUAAAUGUAAAGAGCAAGAAUUAAAUGUUAAUGGUUAGUGUUAGAGUUAGUGUGCCAUAAGGCAAUUUAGCACUAUGUUAAGCAAUCGUAAUUGGAUUUAUGUAGAAGUCACAAUUAUCUG